ACGGCCAUAUGAUGUUGAAACAGUGGUGCCCUUACGAUCACCGAAGUUAAGCAACGUCAUACCUGGUCGUACCUUGAUAGGUGACCACUUGGGAAUGUCAAGUGCUGUAAG
Non-coding RNA from Acanthosepion pharaonis, 111 nucleotides. The record is from the annotation of a GenBank genome assembly. NCBI's taxonomy places the organism in Eukaryota, Metazoa, Mollusca, Cephalopoda, Sepiida, Sepiidae.